GGAGGCCAGCCAAUACCCAAGUAUAUUUUUGAGGUUAUCGUUUAUUUGGUAAUUUUAAUCCUUUUAAAACUUUUUGUCCUUGUUUUCAACUUAGUUAUUAAGAAUUGUGCAAAAUUUGAAUUAAGAUCAAUGAUUUAUUGAUUAGUUAUUGAGAUUUAAUUUUGUUAUAAAAAUUAUUAGGAUUUUUUUACAGUUUGGUUUAGGAUUUAGGAUUUGGUUAGGAUUUGAUUUAGGAUUUAGAGUUUGGUUAGGGUUUCAUUUAGGAUUUAGGAUUUGGUUAGGAUUUAGUUUAGGAUUUAGAAUUUGGUUAGGAUUUAGGAUUUGGAUAGGAUUUAAGAUUUGGAUAGGAUUUGGUUUAGGGUUUAGGAUUUGAUUUAGGAUUUGGUUGGGGUUUGGUUUAGAGUUUGGUUUAGGAUUUGGAUAGAAUUCGGUUUAGGAUUUGGAUAGAAUUUUUUUUAGGAUUUGAUUAAGGUUUGGUUUAGGAUUUAGGAUUUAAUUUAGGAUUUAGGAUUUGAUUUAGGGUUUAGGAUUUUAUUAGGGUUUGUUUAGGAUUUAAGAUUUAAUUAGUUUUGGCCUAAAGUUUGAAUGAAGUCUAAUAGGAUUUUAACUAGGAUUAAAUUAAGAUUUAAUUGAUAUGUAUUUGAGAUAUAUUUGUGAUCAUUCUAAUAUUUCUUUAAUAUUUUUUAUUUUUUCAUUAAAAUUUCUUUGAAAUUUCUUUGAAUUUGAUUAAAGCUUGCUUAACAUAUUAUGGUUUAAUUAGAGUUUAGUUAGUAUUCUAUUAGAGUUAGGAUUUUGUUGUUGUAAUUUCCAUUCUACCUUCCUUAGCUAGGUGCCCAGAGAAUUCUCAAGCAAGACUUCAUGUAUUACGACAUCUCUAUAAGUCAUACUCCAUAAUUUUUAAAAUCUAUAGCAUCAACCCUCUUUGCAAUCAUAAUUGCCCCCUCAAAUGUUUGUAGACCUCUUAAUUCUACCUUUUGUUGGACCUUUAGUUUCAACCCUUG
This 1001-nucleotide long non-coding RNA is filed under the name Physcomitrium patens. RNAcentral describes it as "long non-coding RNA (PPAT_LNC001852)". Lineage: Eukaryota; Viridiplantae; Streptophyta; Bryopsida; Funariales; Funariaceae. The record is from RNAcentral.